This 19-nucleotide small nuclear RNA is filed under the name Arabidopsis thaliana (thale cress). RNAcentral describes it as "snRNA_15041". The record is from RNAcentral. Lineage: Eukaryota; Viridiplantae; Streptophyta; Magnoliopsida; Brassicales; Brassicaceae.
GUUGGAUUGUUCACCCACC